UUGCAAUUUGUUUUUAGAGAUUUUAAUUAAUUCCUAAUAUAUAUAGAGAGAGUAGUGCAAAUAGGCUUAUUGUACUUUUUAAAGUACUUUUUUACUCUUUAAUCAGUUACUUUUGAAUUUGCUAAAUUGAAAAGGAAAAAAAAAUACAUUUUUAUACAUGUAUAUGGUAAUUCAAUAUUUAUUUCUGCUCCUGAAAUUGAAUAUUUUCUCCUGAAAAACUCCUGGAAAUCUCCAGAAAUCCUGAUCUCAGAAUGGUGGGGGAACCCUGGAUACUAUCAGUCACCAACUUCUGUAUGAAUGGUUCUUUAAGUCAACAACAUCUGUAUGAAUGGUGCUAUCAGUCACCACCAUUUUUAUGAAUGGUACUAUUAGUCACCACCAUCUUUAUGAAUAGUACUAUUAGUCACCACCAUCUGUAUGAAUGGUACUAUCAGUCACUACCAUCUGUAUGAAUGAUACUAUCAGUCACCACCAUCUGUAUGGUUCAGUGUUUAAUGUAUAAUUGCUAAGAAUGGUACUGUCAGUCACCACCAUCUAUAUGAAUGGUACUAUCAGUCACCACCAUCUGUAUGAAUGACAGCAUCUUCAUCAUAGCCCCAGAAUUAUGCAGAAUAGUCUAGUAUAUUGUAAUAAAAUAACCAAUACUAGAAAACCACUAUAUUGGCUUUAUUCAACAAGAUUAAGCUACAGCCAACAAUGAACAAAUAUAAGUACAUCUCUAGUUGUUGAAAUACUAUAGACACACACACUGAACAUGACCUUCUGGCACACUGGACUCAUGCAGAAAAUUAAUAAUAAAUAUACACUACAUAUAUGUUGUCACAUCAAACCUGGUAAUCAUGCAUCACAUGCCCUCAGAUAUGUACAAAAAAUGAAGUUUGAGAAGAAAGAGAAAGGAUCAAGAUGAUUUACAAGACACUAAAGAAGUUAUCUAUCAACUAUACUCAAUGUAUGGACGACUUGCAGCCAGACCAGAAUUAUAGAGAAAGAUGUUUUUCUGCUGGCUAAACAUGUAUGGAUAAUGAUGCAGAGAAUUUCCUGGUGAUCAAGAAUUAGGAGCUGCACACAGUUUAAUGAAACCAUAUUUUAGGAACAGAUAGAAAACAAAGAACUGCAGCAAAGAUGGCCUGUUUUUAUUCUUCCUCAUG
Long non-coding RNA from Biomphalaria glabrata, 1148 nucleotides. RefSeq lists it as uncharacterized. The transcript has 4 exons. Lineage: Eukaryota; Metazoa; Mollusca; Gastropoda; Planorbidae. The record is from RefSeq and is a predicted model, not a curated record.